GACGAACGCUGGCGGCGUGCUUAACACAUGCAAGUCGAACGGGGUCCAACCAGUGGCAACACUGGGGAAGACCUAGUGGCGAACGGGUGAGUAACACGUGAGCAACCUGCCCCGAAGACC
This 120-nucleotide ribosomal RNA is filed under the name uncultured bacterium. RNAcentral describes it as "partial 16S ribosomal RNA". It matches the Rfam family "Bacterial small subunit ribosomal RNA", at positions 28 to 139 of the family's 1533-position model. The record is from RNAcentral.